GCCAUAUUAGUUGGUUGUCCUCCUAACCAAGACAUAUAGUGACAUGGGUACGGCAUACGGGUGAUAUGUAGAAGUACAUUUCACUGAGCAUACCACUUUCAGAGCACUCUGCUGUCAAGGGUUGCUCUGAUGGGAUAUGGAUGUAUGUGUCCUUCAGACCUGAGGCUGUCUCGGUGACUUGCAAGCAACUCACUGUGCUUUGGUGUCGAACUAUCCAAAUUUCUAAUUCGAUGAUGAAAGAUUUUUGGGUACAGUCAAGUACUUGUGAAGUUUGAGUGCGAGUCAAGAUGGGAUCGAUCACUCCAAGUAAAAUUGAAGAUGAUGCAUUAUUGUG
Molecule: long non-coding RNA, 334 nt
Filed under: Elaeis guineensis (African oil palm)
Lineage: Eukaryota; Viridiplantae; Streptophyta; Magnoliopsida; Arecales; Arecaceae
Description: long non-coding RNA (EGUI_LNC049777)
Source: RNAcentral